This 753-nucleotide ribosomal RNA is filed under the name uncultured Clostridium sp. RNAcentral describes it as "bacterial SSU rRNA". It matches the Rfam family "Bacterial small subunit ribosomal RNA", at positions 28 to 776 of the family's 1533-position model. The record is from RNAcentral. Lineage: Bacteria; Bacillati; Bacillota; Clostridia; Eubacteriales; Clostridiaceae.
GAUGAACGCGGCGGCGUGCUUAACACAUGCAAGUUGAACGAAACUUUCAGAAACAGAUUCUUCGGAUGACGAUUCUGAAACGUUUAGUGGCGGAUGGGCGAGUAACACGUGAGGAACCUGCCUUUCACAGGGGAAUAACACUGGGAAACCAGUGCUAAUACCGCAUAAUGUAUUAAAGUGGCAUCACAUUAAUACCAAAGAUUUUAUCGGUGAAAGAUGGCCUCGCGCCUGAUUAGCUAGUAGGUGAGGUAACGGCUCACCUAGGUGAUGAUCGGUAGCCGGACUGAGAGGUUGAUCGGCCGCAUUGGGACUGAGACACGGCCCAGACUCCUACGGGAGGCAGCAGUGGGGAAUAUUGGGCAAUGGGCGCAAGCCUGACCCAGCAACGCCGCGUGAAGGAAGACGGUCUUCGGAUUGUAAACUUCUUUAGACAGGGACGAAACAAAUGACGGUACCUGUAGAAUAAGCCACGGCUAACUACGUGCCAGCAGCCGCGGUAAUACGUAGGUGGCGAGCGUUAUCCGGAAUUACUGGGUGUAAAGGGCGUGUAGGCGGCACUGUAAGUCAGAUGUGAAAUCUCCCGGCUCAACCGGGAGCGUGCAUCUGAUACUGCAGUACUUGAGUGAUAGAGGGGAAAGCGGAAUUCCUAGUGUAGCGGUAAAAUGCGUAGAUAUUAGGAGGAACACCAGUGGCGAAGGCGGCUUUCUGGCUAUUAACUGACGCUGAGGCGCGAAAGCGUGGGGAGCAAACAGG